RNAcentral lists this ribosomal RNA (469 nucleotides) under uncultured bacterium. Its description in RNAcentral is "partial 16S ribosomal RNA". It matches the Rfam family "Bacterial small subunit ribosomal RNA", at positions 28 to 507 of the family's 1533-position model. The record is from RNAcentral.
GACGAACGCUGGCGGCGUGCUUAACACAUGCAAGUCGAACGGAAAGGCCCUGCUUGCAGGGUGCUCGAGUGGCGAACGGGUGAGUAACACGUGGGUGAUCUGCCCCUUAUUUUGGGAUAAGCCUGGGAAACUGGGUCUAAUACUGGAUAGGACCAUGCUGUAGGUGGUGUGGUGGAAAGAUUAGUUUCGGUAAGGGAUGAGCUCGCGGCCUAUCAGCUUGUUGGUGGGGUAAUGGCCUACCAAGGCGUCGACGGGUAGCCGGCCUGAGAGGGUGGACGGCCACAUUGGGACUGAGAUACGGCCCAGACUCCUACGGGAGGCAGCAGUGGGGAAUAUUGCACAAGGGGCGCAAGCCUGAUGCAGCGACGCCGCGUGGGGGAUGACGGCCUUCGGGUUGUAAACUCCUUUCAGCCAUGACGAAGCCCUUGUGGUGACGGUAGUGGUAGAAGAAGCACCGGCUAACUACGUG